Molecule: ribosomal RNA, 449 nt
Filed under: uncultured bacterium
Lineage: Bacteria
Description: partial 16S ribosomal RNA
Rfam family: Bacterial small subunit ribosomal RNA
Source: RNAcentral
AAUGAACGCUGGCGGCAGGCCUAACACAUGCAAGUCGAACGGAUCCUUCGGGAUUAGUGGCGGACGGGUGAGUAACGCGUGGGAACAUACCCUUUGGUACGGAAUAGCCUCGGGAAACUGGGAGUAAUACCGGAUGUGGUCGAGAGACGAAAGAUUUAUCGCCAAAGGAUUGGCCCGCGUUGGAUUAGGUAGUUGGCGGGGUAAUGGCCUACCAAGCCGACGAUCCAUAGCUGGUUUGGGAGGAUGAUCAGCCACACUGGGACUGAGACACGGCCCAGACUCCUACGGGAGGCAGCAGUGGGGAAUCUUAGACAAUGGGGGAAACCCUGAUCUAGCCAUGCCGCGUGAUCGAUGAAGGCCUUAGGGUUGUAAAGAUCUUUCAGGUGGGAAGAUAAUGACUGUACCACCAGAAGAAGCCCCGGCUAACUCCGUGCCAGCAGCCGCCGCAG